AACACGUGGAUAAUCUGCCCUUAGGUGGAGGAUAACCUCGGGAAACUGAGAAUAAUACUCCAUAGAUCUAGGAUGCUGGAAUGCACUUAGAUUAAAAGUUCCGACGCCUAAGGAUGAGUCUGCGGACUAUCAGGUUGUAGUCAGGGUAAAGACCUGACUAGCCUACAACGGAUACGGGUUGUGAGAGCAAUAACCCGGAGACGAUAUCUGAGACACGAUAUCGGGCCCUACGGGGCGCAGCAGGCGCGAAACCUUCACAAUGUGCGAAAGCACGAUGAGGGAAUCCCAAGUGCUUGCUCGUAAGAGUAAGCUGUUUUUAUGUCUAAAAAGCAUAGAGAGUAAGGGCUGGGUAAGACGGGUGCCAGCCGCCGCGGUAAUACCUGCAGCUCAAGUGGUGACCACUAUUAUUGGGCCUAAAACGUUCGUAGCCGGUUUGGUAAAUGCCUGGGUAAAUCGUGUAGCUUAACUAUACGAAUUC
This 478-nucleotide ribosomal RNA is filed under the name uncultured archaeon. Its description in RNAcentral is "bacterial SSU rRNA". It matches the Rfam family "Archaeal small subunit ribosomal RNA", at positions 95 to 574 of the family's 1478-position model. The record is from RNAcentral.